RNAcentral lists this ribosomal RNA (363 nucleotides) under Escherichia coli. RNAcentral describes it as "bacterial SSU rRNA". It matches the Rfam family "Bacterial small subunit ribosomal RNA", at positions 1 to 360 of the family's 1533-position model. Lineage: Bacteria; Pseudomonadati; Pseudomonadota; Gammaproteobacteria; Enterobacterales; Enterobacteriaceae. The record is from RNAcentral.
AAAUUGAAGAGUUUGAUCAUGGCUCAGAUUGAACGCUGGCGGCAGGCCUAACACAUGCAAGUCGAACGGUAACAGAAAGCAGCUUGCUGCUUUGCUGACGAGUGGCGGACGGGUGAGUAAUGUCUGGGAAACUGCCUGAUGGAGGGGGAUAACUACUGGAAACGGUAGCUAAUACCGCAUAACGUCGCAAGACCAAAGAGGGGGACCUUAGGGCCUCUUGCCAUCGGAUGUGCCCAGAUGGGAUUAGCUAGUAGGUGGGGUAACGGCUCACCUAGGCGACGAUCCCUAGCUGGUCUGAGAGGAUGACCAGCCACACUGGAACUGAGACACGGUCCAGACUCCUACGGGAGGCAGCAGUGGGGA